AUAUUUAUAGAUAGCCCAUAAGACUAUUCCCAUUCCAUUUCUGUUACUCCUACUCAUAGUCAUCUCUGCUAACCAGAAACAAAAGCAGAAUGUGAACUUCAGUCAGAAGAAUUGAUUUCUAUUCCUGAUUUUCUCCACUUAAUGCAUUUUAUGUCUAAAGGCUGAGCCCUCUAUCCACUGUGCCACCUCACUGAAGGUGAAGGGAGGGAGAACUAAAUCAGGAAGAGCUGGCAGGUACCAUACAUCUAAGCAGAAAAGGAGAGAAAUGAAGUCAAUCACACAAGAGCAGAUGUCCAUAGAACCAUAGGCUGGGAGAUUAAAAGAGCAUCAAGGACUAUCUGCUCCAAUCUCUUCAUUUCACACAGGAGGAAACUGAAGGCCAUGGAGUUUGGGUGAAUUAUCCAAGGUCACAAAAUUAACAAAGAUAAAAAGGGAGAUUAGAGCCCAUGACCUCUGACUCCAUCCACUUCAGCACUCUUUCUACUGUACCACACUACCUCCCCAGUUACCUUGGCACAUAAUCUGUAAUUAUUUUCAUAGUGGUCUUUUUUCAAAGACUUAUCAUGAGUAUUGCACUAUGAGAUGACCAAAUGUC
This 595-nucleotide long non-coding RNA is filed under the name Monodelphis domestica (gray short-tailed opossum). Its description in RNAcentral is "lncRNA (ENSMODG00000040962.1)". Lineage: Eukaryota; Metazoa; Chordata; Mammalia; Didelphimorphia; Didelphidae. The record is from RNAcentral.